This 269-nucleotide ribosomal RNA is filed under the name uncultured soil bacterium. RNAcentral's name for it is "partial 16S ribosomal RNA". It matches the Rfam family "Bacterial small subunit ribosomal RNA", at positions 26 to 281 of the family's 1533-position model. The record is from RNAcentral.
AGAAUCAACGCUGGCGGCGUGCCUAACACAUGCAAGUCGAACGCGAAAGGGGAGCAAUCCCUGAGUAGAGUGGCAAACGGGUGAGUAACACGUGGGUGACCUGCCUUCGAGUGGGGGAUAACGUUCCGAAAGGAACGCUAAUACCGCAUGACAUCCUGCUUUUGGAAAAGCGGAGAUCAAAGCUGGGGAUUCGCAAGAACCUAGCGCUUGAAGAGGGGCCCGCGCCUGAUUAGCUAGUUGGUGAGGUAACGCUCACCAAGGCUACGAUC